UACGGGGGGUGCGAGCGUUGUCCGGAAUCACUGGGCGUAAAGGGCGCGUAGGUGGCCUGAUAAGGGUGUGGUGAAAGUCCGGGGCUCAACCCCGGAUCGGCCGUGCCGACUGUUAGGCUAGAGUACUGUAGGGGCAGAUGGAAUUCCGGGUGUAGCGGUGGAAUGCGUAGAGAUCCGGAAGAACACCGGUGGCGAAGGCGGCCUGCUGGGCAGUUUAGCUGACACUGAGGCGCGACAGCGUGGGAAGCAAACAGG
Molecule: ribosomal RNA, 255 nt
Filed under: uncultured bacterium
Lineage: Bacteria
Description: partial 16S ribosomal RNA
Rfam family: Bacterial small subunit ribosomal RNA
Source: RNAcentral